CUGACCCUAUUAUUAAUUUCUUCAGUCCAUUGUCAGAUCUGACACAGUGCUGGUCAGUUUUCUUUCUUUUCUUUUUUCAUUUAUUUGUGUCUUCUAAGAAAAAGGUUUUAUGACGGGAAGUGCCGAGUUUCAAACAACUGAGAAAGCAACAAAAUUAUUAUCUGCUCUUGAGACGUUGACUCUACUAUUUGUUCAAUUAGUCUCUUAGAAGUUGUCAAAGCAGCCAUCUUGACCUUUCUUUCUUUCUACCUGUGACUAUAAAAGGAGCUUCUCAUAAAUGUCUGUAGUACAUCUGCCUUCAAAACUCAUCCCCACCGAAAUACCUACGAAACCAGUGACAGUGUUUAAGUUGCAGUCUGGCAUUAUCUUACAGCUGAGUAAACCUCACAGCUAGCUGUUACCAAAAUCCGUGUUUUUCCUUCAGUCCUCUCUACACUCACUUCCCACUCUGUCUCCUGUGCCAUCACUUUUAUUUGUCUGAUCAUGUAGUUUAAGAUGUUUAAGGAAGCUAAAUUGGCAGAAAACCAAUUGCCUUUCUUUAAAAGUGCUUUUUUGCCUGUUCAGUUUCACAGAUUGGGAACGAAUGAGUUUCAAUGUCACAGCAAGGGAAGAUGAUUCACGGGACAGAAGAGUGGAGCAGCUUUACCCUUCUUUGUCAGCAGUUAACUUUUAGAUCAUCUUAGCCAUGACUGCACCUAUAAACGAUCCGCUUUCACUCCUGAACAUUUGCAUGGGGGUCUCAGAGACUCCCUCAAAAGUUCAAUGGCUGCAAGAAGAUAAAAGCUUGGCUUUAAGUAAGAAGCCAACUCCACUCUUCCUGAAGUCCAAGAACAAUAGACAUGAUGCCUUGCUUUGCAUCGUCUUUCCUUCUGCCAUCAGUCACUGCUGGUCUUUGCUGAAACUGAAGCAUCCCGGUCUCCUGGUCUCUGUGCAUCCUUUGGCAUGUAGGAGGUAACUCACUGUACUCUGGUUGUUACUUUGUGUCUGUAGCACAAUUUCAUAUGAGUAAGAAGUGAUGUAAUUUGGUCAGAGUUGGCCGACCUGUAAAAGGUACAGAGGAUGCUCAUUCUUGCGUUACCACCUCUCCUUUCUCACCAUCUUCUGAGCUUGCUCUGACACUUGGAAACUGUGAUCCUUGCUGCUGCCACCUCUUUGAGAUUUUGGGCUGAUUUGUUCUGGCAUAGGAUAGGCAUGGCAACUGGUGAGCAGUUUCUCUUCUCUGUUUCUGUUGCUGCUGACAGCAGUAUAAAGCAGUAAUGCUGUGGAAUCAGCAAGGUUGUUACUCAAAAUAGUCAAAAAGCAGAGCGUUUCCCUUUCUUGUCUACAUUUCUACCUGAAAAACAUAGUUGUGAGGGAAGUUUAAUACAAGAGUGAUUUUUUUUUUUCUCCUAAUAUUUUUUGGACUUUGUGGUUUUUUGUACCACUUUAAUGAACCAAACAAGAGGUCCUGGAUUUUGUAAUUACUUAUGUUGUGCUCAACUUGGGCAGAUAUAAGCAAUACCCCUUAAAUUUUAUGGGUAAAAUAAAGCACGUGCAAAAACAUGCUUCAGAAUGUAUUGAAAUUUAGCCCAAACUUGGCUGAUAUACAACGACCUCCAAGCAGCAUUACUGAAGGUCAUGGCGAGCUCCCUAUCACACGUGGAAAAACUUUGUUAUAUUCUGAAAUUUGUUUUUAGAGCUCUGUUGUGUGUAUUGUGUCGGAUUACACUUGCUUUACAAGGUUUCACGUCCUCUCUUAGCCUUUCUUCAAGUGGAGUCCCGGGCAUGAAGGUCAAACCGGACAACUU
Long non-coding RNA from Corvus moneduloides (New Caledonian crow), 1787 nucleotides. The record is from Ensembl. NCBI's taxonomy places the organism in Eukaryota, Metazoa, Chordata, Aves, Passeriformes, Corvidae.